This is a long non-coding RNA of Zalophus californianus (California sea lion), 1615 nucleotides long. RefSeq lists it as uncharacterized. The transcript has 5 exons. The record is from RefSeq and is a predicted model, not a curated record. NCBI's taxonomy places the organism in Eukaryota, Metazoa, Chordata, Mammalia, Carnivora, Otariidae.
CGUAGACACACACCCAGGGAAGACCCGGUGAAGACAGAGGGAGGGAUGGCCGUCCCACUGGGGCCAUCAAGGCUCCAAACUGGCUUCAAGUCCAGGGGCAGAAGGACUUCUGUCCACCACUGAAGCUGGAAGCCGCAGGGAAGGAUCGUCUCCCCUCAGGUCCUCAGAUCAAUGGAGGCAAAAAACCAGGAGAUCCCAUAAAUCCUGUUGAGCCUGUCACAGCUGCCAAAUUAUGCCCUGAUAAAGCUUUUGGUGGCUAAUGAUAUGGCCGUUCACCCGGCAUGGAUGCGACUGAGAGGGGGCUUUCUGGAGAGCAUCUGGCCCGCGAUGGAGACACUUGUCAUAGAGUGUUACCUGAAGGCUCUUUGGCUCUAACGAAGGGUGAAGAUUUGAACGUGAUUAUUUCUAAAUAAAUAAAUAAUAAGGAUAAUUUAAAAAUAAACAAAGAUCUGGAUUUAAAGGCUACAUAUUGUCCCCAGACCAAGAUUAACGAUUCUCAAAGAAUCCACGGUUGGGUCAGUGCACAGCCUUGUUGUGAGCCGUUGGUGGGGCCAGAGCUGCAUCCAUUUUUGUUUCCAUCCUGAGGAUGAUGUCAUUGCCCAAGAGGGCAGAACCCAGAGCAAGGUGGGGAAACUGAGCCAGAGCUAGCGGAUUAGUGUUGGAUCAAAUGGAGAGCCCCCUGAGCUGUGUGCCCGCUAAACAAUAGAUUUGACCCAGAAGAGUGAUUUAGAAUUAAAGUCAUACAGACUGCUGGUGACAGUGUGAACCCCUGAUUUCUUGGCUCACUUGGGGGGAUGUUCAAGAGGCACACCAAAGCUGGUUGGGAAAAGUCUGUGUCAGUCAUUACCCUUGCUGGAGCCCAGACAGGGUCAUCUGGCCACAGCAGCAGGCAGGCAGCCGAGACAAGAUUUCAGCACGAGGACGGUUUCCUGGAAGAAGCUUGGCUGAGAAGCUCCAUCUCUGUGUCCCAUGAGUACCUUUCAGAGCUUCCCUUUCCCUGGCCUCGACCUCCAGGAGCUUUGAAAAAAUGCUGGCAUUUUUAAGAUCCCCCCCAUGUCAAAAUAACACACACACACACACACACACACACACAAGCAACAAAUAAUAAGUAGAAAAGAGAUAAUGUUGAAAAGCAAGUUUCUCCCCUGAUACCCCCCAGCCCUCCCCCCAAAGUGACUUUAUCUAUUCCUCAUUUUAAUUCUUCCAGAGUUGGACCGUGCUGCUCUAGGAUUACACCUCUGCUCUUGGCUUUGUCAAUUUGGGGCACUUACCUUUUGACUCCUAACUAGAAAGAUAAGGCUUUAGCUCAUGCAGCUCCAUCCUUUCCCCCUCACCCUUUUCUGUCGUUUAUGUUUAUAACUGCUUUCUUGAGCCAGCAUGCACAUGCCAUAAAAUUCACCUUGUUCAAUUGUACAAGUCAGUGGUUCCUUAGCGUGUUCACAAAGUUGUGCAACCACGUCUAAAGCCAGCACGUUUUGCAUUUUGUCCCCCUCUAAGAAACCCUGUCUCCAUCAGCAGUCAGCCCUUCAUUCUUCCCUCCUCCCAACCCCUGGCAACUACUCAUUUCUCCACAUCCUCACCAACACAAGAUAUUUGUCUGUCUUUUUUUUCUCAU